This 27-nucleotide small RNA is filed under the name Bombyx mori (domestic silkworm). RNAcentral describes it as "piRNA piR-bmo-2184705". The record is from RNAcentral. Lineage: Eukaryota; Metazoa; Arthropoda; Insecta; Lepidoptera; Bombycidae.
ACCUUUGCUUGUUGAUGGUUCCUGGAA